Molecule: long non-coding RNA, 3696 nt
Filed under: Brassica rapa (field mustard)
Lineage: Eukaryota; Viridiplantae; Streptophyta; Magnoliopsida; Brassicales; Brassicaceae
Description: long non-coding RNA (BRAP_LNC008490)
Source: RNAcentral
CCCUCUUGGUUAAACGGUCAUGGUAACUUCUUCUUUACCUUGUACGGCCACCUUGUACGGCCUGUCCGUACACUCACAUCCCUAACUUCAUCCUCAAGCCUCUAACCUUCUCUAGCUUCAUAUCACAUAGUUGCAUCACCUCAUUUCAACACUUUACAGCCAAGGCCAGCCUGUCCUGAACCUUAUCCACGCCCAAAGCUCUUCCAAAGGGAUCUCCACUUGAUUCUCUUUUGAUGCCAUCUGAUCAGAACCUUAUCCAUUCGCCUAACUCCUUUUCCUUAUGUCCCAAGCUUUGCACAACACCAUCAGGAGGUGUACGGACCAUGCCUUGUCCGUACCCUUGCGCCCUAACUUUGCACAAAGCCUAAAACCCCCAAAUGGUCGAGUCUGCUCUUCUUGGGUCGUCUACCGUCCGUACUGAUCCGUACAUGGCCGUACAGCCUCGCCCUAUCUUUGCACACUCGCCCAUUUGCUUCUCAACACUCUUCUAAGUCUUUCCUAGACUUUACCCUUGCUUAGAACAUCCAUCAGAUCACUUCUCUACACCUUUAGAUACUUCAUAACUCUUGAUAGGCAUUCUCCAUAGCUCUUGCCCUAUCUUUGUACAAGCCACAUCUCAACUCCACACCUUUGCCUUCUCCAUUUCUCUUCUUCAAGUUAACACUCCCCCUCAAGCUUGACUUUAGCUGAUCCUAAGUCAAGCUUGGAACCUUGAAGAACUUCCUCAUUAAAAACCUCACCAAGGAAAACCCUUUGGGACAAAACCUUGAUGAGGGAAAAAGAGUAAAGCCUCCAAGGCCUAGGGAUUGGCCAGUGAGUCUUUGUGCCUUACCAACAAUGUAAGGGACACAAAGACUCUGGAUCAUGGCCCUCAUGUGAUGCAAGAUAGAACCCACUCUUCUUGCUCAUCAUCAACACUUCUUGUACUCUUCUUCAGACAGAUCUUGGUCUCUCCCCCUUUCUCACAACCUUCUUGUUGUGAUCAAGUGCUCGGACUGGUUGAUCUUCCUUGAUAGAUACAAGCUGAGUCUUGGCUGCUUCUUCUUCAUGAGUCACCACCAUGUUACUGAAACCUUCAUGACCGGAUGCUUCAGACUGUAGUACCAAUCACCUCACUCUAGAGGCCGCAUUGGUGAUUGCUUCUUCAUCCUUCAUUCUGCUUCAUAACUGAUCUGCUCCUCUUCUUGAAUAACCACCAAGUACUCUCAGAUCAUGUAAGCUUCAACACUCCCCCUCAAGCUUGAGACUCUCACAGGAACAAGCUUGGAUGGAUAGCUUCAUGAUCUGUACCAUUACUCCAUUGCAACACCUUCUGAACUCGCCAUCUUCAUGGAUUGCUUUUGGAAGCUUCAGCUACCUCUUCAGCCACCUCACACUAGAAGUCGCACUGAUAGAGUCUCCAUCUUCUCACAGCCAAGAGUGCUCUGAACACUCUCUUGCCUAGACACGCCACUGCCUAGACCCGGAUGGCUCCUUCUUCUUCAGUUGCUUGCAAUGGACCUUCUGAACCUUCUUGAACAGACUGAUAGCUCACUAAACUCCCCUCCUCAAGCUUGGAUAGGAUGAGGGUCCAAGCUUGGAAGUGAGCAGCCGUGAGUCUUCACUAACCAGUGGCACAUAACCACUUCAGUAACCGCUCUCCAUUGCUCAUGACAAUGGGCAAUGCCUUCCUCUUUCUCUUGGAUUGGUGAAGAACUAAGAACACUCCUUGUGCACCUGAAACACCACUCAACCUCCAGAGAAGAUUAGACAUAGGUGCAUUGGGUCAGUCCUUGAUUCCACAUCAAGCUUGAACACCAAUGUCUCACUAAAGCAAUGCAAGAUCAAACAAGACACCCAAGUUUCAAAUCAUUGCAAGCUCAACUCUCUAAGUUCUAGUAUGAUCCUACAGAUUCAUUACAAGACACUUAGGCAAUUUUUGACAGCUCCUUUACUCAGCUACUAGACAUUAAUCUAGUGCCUCAAUGUAAGGUAACUUCAAGACUAUAUGCAACAGCUUUAAAUCAGUUUCAAUACAUGUAUGCAAGCAGAUUCAAUCAAUCACAACAAGCAUCACUAUGAACUGGAGCUAAGCAUAUUAAAUCAAUCUCAAUCACCAAACAAGUCUCUUUAAGCAUCCUGGGAUAGAUUCUAAAUUCAUUUCAUUUCAUUUAGCAAUCUUUAAACAAUCCUCAGGUUUUCAAUCACAUCACAACACACAACCAGAUCUUAUCACAAGCUCAUUAUCACUUAAGGUUUAAAGAAUCGCUUACUACCAAGGAACCAGGUUGGUCCUUGUAUCACUCUCGGAUGGUAAGCUCAUGACUUUGAGGAUAUGUGAGUCUGGAUCGUUACCCAUCUCCUUCUCCUUCAGUUCAUGACUUCCUCCUUGUUUCUCAUACUCACAAACCCCUCCUUUCUUCAAGCCCUCUACUCGCCAUCUUCUGCAUAGCUUUCUUUUCACACCAGAUGAGGAACAGCCUUUGGACAAGGCGCCAUGGACAAGGUUCGCGAGGCCUCUCCACACACCUUUGCUUCCAACAAGAGUCUUCAUCAGGUACAGGUUGAACUGGCUGAGAGAUAAGGAGUAACACGCCAUGCUUCAGUCUUCUUCUUCUUGAAGUAACCAGAACCGCAAGUACAUGUCUUCUAGGCUUUGAUUUGAGCUGAGGUGAGAGCAAGUGAUUUGCGGAAGCUACAGCUCAGGUUCUGAUGAACCUGGCUCUGAUACCAUGUGAGAUUUGUAGAGUUCUCUUCUCUAGUUGUGUUUGUGUGUGUAUAAACUCCAAUGGAGAAAGAUGAGAGCUUGCUCUAGGUGAUUUAGAAAGAGAGAUUGAUGAGAGUGUUUACUUAAAUCAGAAACAAGAGACUUUGAGAGAUUAAGAGAUUAGAGACUAAGAAAGGGGUAGAUUAAGGGAAUCUGAUUCAAGAACACAAUUUCUUAUUUCCAAGAAGUGGAGAGGGGAAAUCCCCCUUACUCCCUUAACCCUUACAAAUCGCCAACCUUAGGCUUAUAUAUGCCUUUACAAGAGCAAAUCAUAAACCUAAAUCUAAUGGCUGAUAAUACUUGAAGUUUAAAUGGAUGGUGUGGAUAAGCUGGUCUUGUUUGUCAUGAGGAGAAGGUGAUCUGAUUGGAUAGAAGAGGCUGGCGCCUCAUUGGCUCAUUCAAACUAGGCUGGCUCUUGAUUGGUUCUUCUUAGGCUCCUUUGUAUCAAGCUUGGAAUCAGUCUAGGUUCAUAGUCAAGGCUGCCUUUACUUUACAGCCAAGGCCAGCCUGUCCUGAACCUUAUCCACGCCCAAAGCUCUUCCAAAGGGAUCUCCACUUGAUUCUCUUUUGAUGCCAUCUGAUCAGAACCUUAUCCAUUCGCCUAACUCCUUUUCCUUAUGUCCCAAGCUUUGCACAACACCAUCAGGAGGUGUACGGACCAUGCCUUGUCCGUACCCUUGCGCCCUAACUUUGCACAAAGCCUAAAACCCCCAAAUGGUCGAGUCUGCUCUUCUUGGGUCGUCUACCGUCCGUACUGAUCCGUACAUGGCCGUACAGCCUCGCCCUAUCUUUGCACACUCGCCCAUUUGCUUCUCAACACUCUUCUAAGUCUUUCCUAGACUUUACCCUUGCUUAGAACAUCCAUCAGAUCACUUCUCUACACCUUUAGAUACUUCAUAACUCUUGAUAGGCAUUCUCCAUAGCUCUUGCCCUAUCUUUGUACAAGCCAC